CUGGGGUCACUCACAUGGCGUUAAUAGAUAUACCUAGAGUUCAUAGACUCAGCCAUUCAAUGUGGUGGGGCAGGGUAUGAAAAGGGCUGUAAUAUGCUGGAAAAAUCUAACUAAUUAUUAUUCUGUCAGGGUGAUCUUAAUGCUGUCAUUGAUUUGACCUCUGUAACAUACAGACUCAUGGUGUGUGACACACCAGCAGCCCACAGUCAGCCUGAGCUCUAGUAGUCAUGUUACACAGACAGGGUUAUUAUCUAAAGUGAGAAUACAAAAUUAAUUUCAGUAUGGUCAGAAUGUGAAGCAUAGCUAACUGAAGAGAAUUUUUCUACUUUAAGCUGUUUUGACCUUUUACUUUAAAAAUGAACAUGGGAUUCUUUUAGUAAAUUAUUUUAAUAUUAAAAGGACACUAUAGGCACCCAGAACAAUUUUUUUGUCUCGUUGCAGUGUCCAUGUUCCCCGUAGCCCUGCAAUGCUUUUACUGCCUUUGUUGGUUAUCUACCAGACAACCACCAGAGGCGCUUCCUGCUGUUUCAUGGAGUUUGAACGUGAAACGACGCUGGACGUCCUCAAGCUUUGUGUGAGGACCUCCAGCGUCUUCUUAAAUCCCUAUAGGAAAG
Molecule: non-coding RNA, 614 nt
Organism: Pelobates cultripes (western spadefoot toad)
Lineage: Eukaryota; Metazoa; Chordata; Amphibia; Anura; Pelobatidae
Source: the annotation of a GenBank genome assembly